UGCACGAUCUCCUUUAGCUAAA
Molecule: unclassified non-coding RNA, 22 nt
Filed under: Mus musculus (house mouse)
Lineage: Eukaryota; Metazoa; Chordata; Mammalia; Rodentia; Muridae
Description: oocyte_clustered_small_RNA12492
Source: RNAcentral